GGCCUUCCUAACUUCCGGAUAGGCGCCAUAUUGGAAAAAACUGGACAUACUCAGAGAGGUAGGUCGACAAUUUGAAAUGUUGAAUUAAGAAAAUCGAGCAAACCAGUUUUGUAUUGGAUUAGUGCAUAUUGUACUGUGAGUUAAAAAUUUUGAAGUUAUAAAUAAAAUUAUUAUGGUUAUAGAGAAAAAGUUCAGCAUUGCCAAGAAUGUUGCGAAAACACAUGUCUGAUAAAACCAAGUCUUGGUUUUAUGGAUUUUUGACAAUUGUUCGUUUUUGGAUAAGAAAUUUCUUUAAAUUAAAGGUCCGAUAAAAGUUUAAUAUGUUUUUGAAUGUUUAUAUGGCAACAACAUUGCAGAUCGGAUGCAAAUUAUGCAUUUUGACGCACAUGUUAUGCCGCUUCAUUGUUAUGCAAAUGAGCGACAAUAACCGGUUGUUUGUGUACUUUAACACACAUGAUGUAUCAUUGAAAACGUGUAGGCAUUGUAUGGUAUGAAUAUAUAUAUAUCUGUAAUUUAAACUAUAAUUGCUCAAUUCAAUACAUUAAUUAAUUGUUGCAUGUACUUUGACAGAGAGUUGUCUCAUUGACAAUCAAUCAUAUAUGCCAUCCUUUUCUUCUUAUUUAUCUGUAUAUAUUUUUAAUACACACACAUUUCAAACAAGUAUCAGAUGCUGUUCAGUUUCAUUUCAUUUCAAAUUUGUUCAGUUUCAUUUCAUUGGACUAGGAAGGACACAAUUUAGAACAAUUACUUUCAAAAGGGGGGGCGCACUACCUAUACAGAAGGUGAAAUGUGCUGCUGGGAUACAUGAAGGUCAUCUUUUCAAGCUUGAAAAAUAUAUGUGGAUACAUGUAGGUCUGGAAAACUAUCAGAAAUAUAUGAUUACAUCAUUAAAGUUACAAUAUAAAUUUCUUCGUCUCUCAUCCUUCUUGGUCUUACAAGCUGUUUUGUCAAUCUUUUUUUACACUUUGGUAUGCCACUUUUUUUUUUAUUGCAGAGCAUUAAUAUCGACAUGAAACCCAAACAAUAUAGGAAAAGGUUACAUUUUCACCUAUAUCUGUAUUCAUCAUGUUGCAAAACAAUAUAUAUCCAUGAUUGGUGAAGUAAUUUCACUCAAGUAUGGGUCCUUUAGCUACCCUACACUACGAUAUUUAUUUAUUCUUCGAUUGAUCCAGUACUUUAUAGUCAUGUCCAUAUUCAUAUUAUGUCUUCAUAUAAUUUCAGUCAGUGGAAAUACCAGAAACAACAUCCUAGCUGGUUUUGGAAUUUUUCCUGCAGACUAUGAAAACACUGCUGUAGUUCUUUGAUUCUUUGAUAACUUGUACAUGUUGUUGUGAUGUAACAAAUUGCUUUUUAUAAGCUACAUGUACAAAAUGAAAGAAAGAAGGUAAGAUAUUAAAGUUAUACUCAAAUAGUUCUUCAUUUUUGGGGUCAAAGGCGACAGGGCAUCCUGCCACUUUUUAAGAUUUGAAAAGAUUUGAUUAUUUCAAUUACAUUUUUUAGAUUGAAAUUAUUUUGUAAAAUUUAUUUAAACAUUUAUGAUAAUUUGAUAAACCUUAGAAAAAUUUAAGGGUUUUGUUUUAAACUUUUUUCUAUAUCUGAUAUACAAAAAAAAUUAAAAGAUAAUCUGCAAUAAAAUGAGAAGUGUUAUUGUCUUUAGACAUUUAUAUAUAGUUCAUAUUUAAAUUGUACUUUUAAACACAUAUUGUCAUUUUUUCCUUAAAAUAAAUUUGCAUUUUGCUUCAUGUAUAACAUUAUAAUUUCAGGUUAGAAUGCAGAACUGGUGAAGAUGAAGAUUAUAAUUGUGAUCUACAUAUUGAUUAAUUUGAAGCAGAAUUUGUUCUUAAGAGUGAAAUAAACAAAAAACAGUGUGUUAUAGGAAUAUGUUCCACUAUUACCACAACAACAAAAAUAUUCAUUGUUUGACUGAGAGAUAAAUGAAUAAAAGUGUUAAUAAAGAGUACUAGACAC
This 1968-nucleotide long non-coding RNA is filed under the name Mytilus galloprovincialis (Mediterranean mussel). Lineage: Eukaryota; Metazoa; Mollusca; Bivalvia; Mytilida; Mytilidae. The record is from RNAcentral.